RNAcentral lists this ribosomal RNA (490 nucleotides) under uncultured bacterium. RNAcentral describes it as "partial 16S ribosomal RNA". It matches the Rfam family "Bacterial small subunit ribosomal RNA", at positions 30 to 507 of the family's 1533-position model. The record is from RNAcentral.
AUUGAACGCUGGCGGCAGGCCUAACACAUGCAAGUCGAACGGUAACAGGAAACAGCUUGCUGUUUCGCUGACGAGUGGCGGACGGGUGAGUAAUGUCUGGGAAACUGCCUGAUGGAGGGGGAUAACUACUGGAAACGGUAGCUAAUACCGCAUAACGUCGCAAGACCAAAGAGGGGGACCCUCGGGCCUCUUGCCAUCGGAUGUGCCCAGAUGGGAUUAGCUUGUUGGUGGGGUAACGGCUCACCAAGGCGACGAUCCCUAGCUGGUCCGAGAGGAUGACCAGCCACACUGGAACUGAGACACGGUCCAGACUCCUACGGGAGGCAGCAGUGGGGAAUAUUGCACAAUGGGCGCAAGCCUGAUGCAGCCAUGCCGCGUGUAUGAAGAAGGCCUUCGGGUUGUAAAGUACUUUCAGCGGGGAGGAAGGGAGUAAAGUUAAUACCUUUGCUCAUUGACGUUACCCGCAGAAGAAGCACCGGCUAACUCCGUG